This is a long non-coding RNA of Cloeon dipterum, 2594 nucleotides long. RefSeq lists it as uncharacterized. The transcript is spliced from 3 exons. The record is from RefSeq and is a predicted model, not a curated record. NCBI's taxonomy places the organism in Eukaryota, Metazoa, Arthropoda, Insecta, Ephemeroptera, Baetidae.
UUGUGUUUGAACUUGGGACGGUUGAGGAUUGCAUCAUCAUUGUCGGCAGAGAUUUUCUCAGUGUUUUUGGUCAUUUUUCGACAAAUGGACUACUACAACGGAUCCUUGGAAGGACGAUGGAUGUUUUACAAGGCUUGCACCGCGUCCCGCCCUGAUCUUCUGUUUUGAUGUCCUGGUCGGGAAUAGCUGCCUGUACGCGAUGGCCAUCCGGAUUUCAAGCCUGGACAACUAAACAAAACUUCUCCCGUCUCCGGUGUAUCCAGGGUUAUCAUCUGCUGUUUUGUUUCCAUUUUCAACUGACAAUGAGUGCCGACAGUACAUAAAUGGGACUGGACUCAGGAGACGAAAAGCAACAUGACAAGAUACAUAGUAUAGUGCUGCUGGACGAUGACAUGAGUGUUGGGAGAUAAAGUGGUAAUUCUGUGUGUGUUCCAUGGUUAUUUUUUGUGUUAAAUUUUGUGUAUGUCUUCAAAAUUAAUUUUGACUCAAAAUUUCAAUAUAUUAUUCAUUUUUUGUACUAAUGUUUGCAACAGUUGAAUUCCUAAACAGAUUUAUGUGAAUAGUAUACAGUAUGUUUGCGGCAUAUUUUAAAUUAAAGCAAUUUUCUAGACAGUUAAUUGUGGCAACUAAAAUUUUUAAUCUAUUACUUUGACAAUUAUCAUAGGCUUAAAAUCAACCAUCUCAAAUGCCUUAAGUAUCUUAAGUCAAUUACAGCUGAUGGUGCCAUUGUAUAAUUCCUAUUUUAAUUCCUUUAAGGAAUUAAUCUUGCUGCAGUGCAUUAUGGACUAAAAAUAAUUCAUUUUACUGUGCUGGAAACAGUGGAAACCAAAAUAAGUUCAGCAAAUCACCGUUCAAUUUUUAUAAUUAUUUGUUCUGUUGCUGCAUUGCCUACAUAUACAUAAUCAAUGUGAUAAUUUUAACUAUUAGUCUCAUUUUUGUACUGUGCAGUUCUCCGCGGUCUAUUGUACGCUAUUUUUUGGGGUUGAAAAUUGUUAUUUUCAUUUGUAUAUUAUAUUAUAUUAUUUGCUUAUUCUGUUAAUGAAAGGUGCAAUGUAACUUGACUGCAUUUAGGUAUCACCUUGGAAUUUUCACAGCCAAACCUAGUUUUUUAUUCUGAACAACUUUUAACUUUAUAAAACUUGCAAGUCUUUCUCGACCUUUUUUUGGAAAAUUCAAUAUUAGUGGAUGUUAGUCCCCAUUGAUAUUUUUUCAGGAUUCAAGACUAAAUUGUAUCCCGUGAAUAUCUGCACAAGCACACCAGGUUUCAGAGGUGCAACAAUAGUUUUGCCAGUUUUGCUUUAAUUUGAAUUUGAAAAUUCAUAUCCGGCUUGAGGCUGCUCGACCGAGCAUGGCCUUUACUUACCGAGGUCACCGAUCAUUAGUCGAGAAUAUUUUUACUUCUUACCAUUUGAUUAGACACACCAAGAGGGCCCAGGGUAGACACAAUAAGGUCAAAAUCGACCUUCAGGGUCUGUACCUAACGAGACCCUGAGAUUAAAAUUUCAAAUUUCAUCGAACUUGGAAUCUUUUCGUAGGUUUUCGCCGCUUUACAGCUCAAAUAUAAAGCCAAAACUGCCGAAUGACAUUCCUGAAACCGGUUCUCAAAAUAACUGUGGAAGCCAUUAAUCCUGACGUGAUGUUAAAUGUUGAUAAAAUUCAAAAUCGGCAGUUUUGACUUUGUAUUAGAGCUGCACAGCGGUGAUAGCCUAUGGAAAGACACUAAGUUCGAUGAAAUUGAUUUUUUUAAAUUUUUAUCUCAGGGUCUCGUCAGGUACAGACCCUGAAUAUCGAUUUCGACCUUUAUGUAUGUCUAUACUGGGCCCUCUUGUUGUGUCUAAUCAAAUGGAAUGGGUAAAAAUAUUAUCAACGAAUGAUCGGCGAACUCGCCGACUAAAGGCCAUGCUCGAUCGAGCGGCCUCGAGCAGGUUUUUAAUUUUCAAAUUAAAAUUGCAGCAAAACUAUUGUUGAACCUUUGAAACUUGGUGAGCUUGAGCAGAAUUUCAAUAGGGCUCUAUUUCAGCCCUGAAUCCCAAAAAAUCUAAGGGUUCUAUCAUCCCUUAAUUUUGAAUUUUCGAAAAAGGUCGUGAAAGGUGACCUUGACCUACAACUUGCGAAUAUUUUGUUCACUGAAUAUUUGUUCAGAAUCGAAAACUAGGCUGUAAAGUGAAUAUUUCAAGGUGAUGCCUCAACGCAAUCAAGAGUUAUAAUCCGCCUUUGAAUUUCUGAUUUCAUGUUCCGGAGAUUUUUAUGAAAUUGUAAUAUUAGGGAACGGAUGGUCAUAGAUGUAUUAAAUGUAUAAUUAAGUUAUUGUUACUUUGCUGUAUUGAUAUAACCAAUAAAAGUGCUGCCCAUCUGGCUGCCCACUGAGGGUGACCACCGGGCGGGCACCCAAUGGUUACCUUUUGGCUACCUCUUACCUCGGGCUGUCAUUUUGUGCUAUACUGAAAUUUAACUUUUUUAAUGGACAGAGUCAAUUGACCUGCCACCAGUGCCACCUGACAGCCCUAGAUAAAAGGUAGCCAAAAGGUAACCAAUGGCUGCCCACUGGUGGUAACCUCAGCCGGGCACCUGAUGGUUAGCUUUUGGUCAACGAA